RNAcentral lists this ribosomal RNA (347 nucleotides) under uncultured bacterium. Its description in RNAcentral is "partial 16S ribosomal RNA". It matches the Rfam family "Bacterial small subunit ribosomal RNA", at positions 338 to 699 of the family's 1533-position model. The record is from RNAcentral.
CCUACGGGUGGCUGCAGUGGGGAAUAUUGGGCAAUGGAGGAAAGUCUGACCCAGCAACGCCGCGUGAAUGAUGAAGGUCUUCGGAGUGGAAAGUUCCUUUCUUGCGGAAGAAAAAAGUGACGGUACCUUAUGACUGAGACUCGGCUAACUACGAGCCAGCAGCCGCGGCAAUACGUAGGAGGCAAGAGUUAUGCGGAAUGACUGGGCGUCAAGGGUGCGUAGGUGGUUUGACAAGGUGGUCGUGUAACUCCGAGGCUCAACCUCGGCAGUACUACCGAUACGGUCGGGCUUGAGUGUAGGUGCGGCAGACGGAAUUCAUGGUGUAGCGGUGGAAUGCGUAGAGAUUA